UUUUUUUUUUUUUUUUUUUUGGCUUAUGGUGCCUUCACUUUUGUCAUAUUCAAAAACUCACUGCCGUGACCAAUGUUGAGGCUCUUCUUCCCUAUUUUCUCUUAAGGGUUUUGUGUCAUCGGGUCACAUGCUGAAGUCUUUAAUCCAUUUUGAGUUACUUUUUGAGUUGUGUAAGAUAGGAUAUUUCUCCAUUUCCUUAUUCAGUUUUCCAAUACCAUAUGUUGAAAGGACUAUCCUUUCCUUGAUGAGUGUUUGUGGCUCCCUUGGCAAAUGUUACUUGACAGUAGACCUGUGAAAUUACUUCUGGGAUCUCUGCUCUUUUACUCUGGUCCUGUGUCUGUUUUAAUGCCAGUACCACAUGGUACACAGUGAAUUACUAUUGCUUUUUAGUAAUUAACACAGGAAGUUUUGUUCUUUCUCAUGAUGGCUUUUGCUAUGUGAAGUCUUUUGUGGUUCCAAGCAUAUUUUAAGAAUGAUUUUUUUAUUUCUGAGAAAGACGCCCUUGAAGUUUUGACCAGGAUAGCAUUGAAUCUCCAUAGCUGACUUGUGUGGUUUGGACACUUGAACAAUAUGUAUUUUUCCAGUCCACGAAUAGGAGCUAUCUUUUCAGAUCUUAUGUCUUCUUCAGUUUCUUUCAUCCACGUCUUGUUGUUUUUAUUGUAGAGAGCUUUCACCCUCUUAGUGACGUGUAUUCCUAAGUAUCUUAUCAACCAAGGAGGUGGUUUCAGUUGAACCCUCAUCCCAGCCUGGUCCCACGGGGCGCUGAAGUCUCAAUGGCACCACGGUUGUCCUGCCUUAAAGCCAGAGGUGUGGGAGUUCCCGUCGUGGCACAGUGGAAACAAAUCUGACAAGGAACCAUGAGGUUGCAGUUCGAUCCCUGGCCUCAUUCAGUGGGUUAAAGAUCCGGCAUUGCCCUGAGCUGUGUGUAGGUCACAGACGCUGCUCAGAUCCUGCAUUGCUGUGGCCCUGGUGCAGGCCGGUGGCUACAGCUCCAAUUGGACCCCUAGCCUGGGAACCUCCAUAUGCCGCAGGAGUGGCCCUAGAAAUGGCAAAAAGACAAAAAAAAUUAAAAUAAAAAUUAAAAAAAUUCUAGUGCCACCUCUCUAUGUUUUGUAAUCGGUUAUUUUUCCUGAUCCCUGUCUGUAUGUCCAGUAAUGCUUCUUUCCUGCACCCAUUUCCCAGAACACAGGGACAGGCUUGUGGUGCAAUCAAAGACUCAAGGAGAGGGAUCCGUGUAUGUCUCAGAACAAAAUACAAUCUCCUUGCAGAGCUACGUGGAUUCGAAGGAGACCUGAGGAUUGUGAGAAGGGAAACGCUGGCUUCAAGGGGCUGUUUUCCAGGAGUUCCCAUUGUGGCGCAGUGGUUAACGAAUCCAACUAGGAUCCAUGAGGAUAUGGGUUCGAUCCCUGGCCUUGCUGAGUGGGUUAAGGAUCUGGCGUUGCCGUGAGCUGUGGUGUAGGUUGCAGACUUGGCUCAGAUCCCGAGUUGCUGUGGCUCUGGUGUAGACCGGUGGCAACAGCUCUGAUUAGACCCCUAGCCUGGGAACCUCCAUGUGCCGCCGGUGCGGCCCUAGAAAUGCAAAAAAAAAAAAAAAAAAAAAAAAG
Molecule: long non-coding RNA, 1604 nt
Filed under: Sus scrofa (pig)
Lineage: Eukaryota; Metazoa; Chordata; Mammalia; Artiodactyla; Suidae
Description: lncRNA (ENSSSCG00045008750.1)
Source: RNAcentral